CGAGCUUAAGCCGAUAGGUGUAGGCGUAGCGAAAGCGAGUCUGAAUAGGGCGACAUAGUUGCAUGGAUUAGACCCGAAACCCGGUGAUCUAGCCAUGGGCAGGUUGAAGGUGCAGUAACAUGCACUGGAGGACCGAACCCACUAAUGUUGAAAUAUUAGGGGAUGACCUGUGGCUAGGGGUGAAAAGGCCAAUCAAACCGGGUAAUAGCUGGUUCUCCGCGAAAACUAUUUAGGUAGUACGUCGUGUGAAUACCUACGGGGGUAGAGCACUGGAUGGGCUAGGGGGAUGCGAAUCUUACCAAACCUAACCAAACUCCGAAUACCGUAGAGUACUGCACGGCCAGACAGUCCAUGGGUGCUAAGGUCCGUGGACGAGAGGGAAAAAGCCCAGACCGCCAGCUAAGGUCCCCAAAUGAUGAUUAAGUGUGAAAAGGAAGUGGGAAGGCCAAGACAGCCAGGAGGUUGGCUUAGAAGCAGCCAUCCUUUAAAGAAAGCGUAAUAGCUCACUGGUCUAGUUAAGCCGUCCUGCGCCGAAAAUGUAACGGGGC
This 548-nucleotide ribosomal RNA is filed under the name uncultured bacterium. RNAcentral describes it as "bacterial LSU rRNA". It matches the Rfam family "Bacterial large subunit ribosomal RNA", at positions 641 to 1181 of the family's 2925-position model. The record is from RNAcentral.